Molecule: long non-coding RNA, 27518 nt
Filed under: Hordeum vulgare
Lineage: Eukaryota; Viridiplantae; Streptophyta; Magnoliopsida; Poales; Poaceae
Description: long non-coding RNA (HVUL_LNC002552)
Source: RNAcentral
UAUAUAUAAGAUUAACUUAUCUUACAAGCGAGCAUAUAUAUACAAUUAUAUGCAGAUCUGAAUUAUCGGGACUAGAGCCCGUCUAUUUGAUUACAUGGACGAACAUCAGUAAUGGCCCCUAGCUACACUAAAUCGUCCUUUGUCAUCUAUAGCUUCUGUCCUCAGAAAGGUCGCAAGCUCCUCUGCAACAGCAAUCGCGCGUUGCUUUGGUAGGACCUUCGUCCUCAUGGCCGUGUACUAUAUAAGAAGAGGAGAUGAAUAUGAAUAUCAAUCAUGAUAACAAAGAAUGACGGGUAAAAAUAGAGGUGUGAAUGUUCAUUGCUUACGUCGAAUUUGUGAUCCUUGUGCUCAGAGGUAAACUUGCGAAUGGUCUCGCAAACAUAGUAUCCGCAUAGAUGCGUCCCCCGUGGCUGCUGGUCGCACUUUACGAGAAUAGAAUAUAUAUAAUCAAAAUAAUAAUCUAGCAUCACAAAUGUAUUGAAAAUAGAAGUAUAUCAUACUACUACUUACCUGAGCCGCUCUAAAGUUCAGCUUCUCAGGAAAGUUACCGGGAGUCACGCACUUGAACCGCUUCCAAACCCUGCCCGACAAGGAUAAUGAUUUGCUAAGUUUUUCAUUAAUUGAUAUAUCAGAAAAUCAUCGAAAGAGACCGAUAGAGCGCAAGAAUGAUUGAAAUUACCCUUGGAGCAUGUCCUGCAGGCUUUGGAACUGUUCCAAGGGUCUCGAUAAUGGGUCGAAGGCAUCAACUCUUCCCUUAUCAAUUUGAAUGUCCAACAGAAUCCAAUGGAAGCUGCACAUGUAUAUAUAUAUAUGUGUCAGUAACUUAUCAAUUACACUUAUAAGUGAAUGGACACAACAGAGUAAAGACCCUCACCUGAAGUUGUAUGGAAACAGUAUGUGGUCACAGGAAUUUUGAUCUGUUAGAAACCUUAGAAGGUUUUCCUCCGUCUCCUUGGGUUUAUCAGUUAGCGUCGCUAUAUGUAUUUUAUCUGGGUCAAUAAACCCAAUAUUUAGGAUGUUCUUACUUUUACAAUCCAGAAUCUUCAUUCUGCAUAAUAGAGUACAAGUUAUAUAUAGACAAUGAAUUGAAAUAACUAAACAAGUUAUAUGUAGACAACGAAUUGAAAAACUUACAGACAAUAGCAACUCAUAAGCGAUUUGUCGAGGGCGUCGCCAUUGUACAUCUGGAAGAGUUCAUCAAAGUCGAUAUGGAUUUGUUCGGGGCGGCCGUAGUACUCCCGUGGGACACUCACCACGAUCAUCGUUCUCCCAUUCUUUGAUUCACUUAAGUACCAUGUAUGCAAGUAACGCAUAUUUGUUGGGAGAUCGUCUUUGCUGACCAAAGGCUCUCCCAUGACAAACUGUGGCUUAGGGGCUACCACAGCCUUGGGUAACCUGUCGUCUUGGGAAGCCAGAACAUCUUCAACCGAGACACCCCAUUCAGUCGCCCACUUCUUUGCUAAUUCAAAAUCUUUCCUCUGCACCAGAGGGGGAACAUUCUCGGUUAACACCUUGAGGGGUGGGAUCGACUGUUUGGCCUGUUGUCCAAGGUGAGGAACGUCUCAUUUUUUCUUGCUUGUAGUUGAACUUGAUUUGCUCCCACUUGCACUUGCACGUGAUCUGCUCUUUUUCACUUCCUUCUGCAAUGUGCGUGUAUAGUCAUUAGGCUUAUGGUGUAAGUCAUACUGUGAUGGAAGGAUCGUGAAGUAUUUUGCAAAUGCUAUUUGCUUCUCAGUGUAUUCCGGGCGGGGCUCGGGUUCCUUCUUUUUCAUCUGCGCAUCAUGAUGUUCCUUUGCUAUCCUGGCGUUUUCCUCGGGGGUACGAUCAUAAGGUUUGAUAGGAAGAUUAGCAUGAGGUACCUUCGGGAGGGGCGACCGUUUGCGCUUUGGGGGGGCUCCGUCGCUUAGAAAUCAUCGGUGGAGCGUUCUUGGUGGCACGCUCCCGCUUAGUAUCCGGAGCGGGCGGCGGCGGAGAUGGACGACCCAAGUCCGGCGGCGGUGAUCGAGAUGGACUCGUGUUGUGCUGGCCAACGUCAUGUGGAGGGCUUGGAGGUAAUGGAGGUGUAGGUGACCUGCGACGACUCGGAGGCGGUGUUGUCCUUGGGGCCGAGCCUGGAAGCUUGAUGUAGUUCUUGUCCCAUAGGAUGACUCCACCCAGUAGUUCUCCGAGUGUCCUCUCAUCUUCGGGUCCAGCUAUGUCGAGCUCCAUAUCAUGAAACCCCGUCAUGAUUUCAUCCACCCCGACUUUAGCAAAGCCAACUGGAAUCUCACGGCCAUGCCAACGUGCAUCAGGGCCAGAAGGUAAAGCUGGUCCGACGACCACCUUCAUGGAUAUGUUCUUGAAUUUCUGAUGGAGUUCACAUGAUGUUGACUCCUUGAUUCCAUCCACGGGAUAGCCGGGACUGCCCUCUAUCAUUCUUCGUGCAUCGUUGGGCGGGGCCUCACAUUCAGCCAUGCUGCUUUUCCGCUUAGAUGGGGCGCCGGUAAUAUCAAGUGCAGGAUCUUCCUGGCGCGGUACUCCUCUAAGCUCAUCAAUCUGCUUCUGUUGCUCGUUAAUCCUGGCAAGCAACUGGUUGAACUUGUCAUUCUACUCAUCCUGCUCCCACUUCUUUGCUCUCUCUCGGCUUCUGUAAGUGUCUUGGUCUUUGGCAAACCCAAGCCACCACGGGUAAGAAGGACCGAAGCCUCGUGUUCGUCCUCCAUGUUCAUCAUUGCCGAGGACUAGUGUGAGCAAAUCUUUAUCUCUAUCUGCAGUGAAAUUUCUUGUUCCCUCCUUAAUUUCUUUCACUAUCCUUUUCCAAUUCUCCCUGGGUAUCCUAAGACCGUCACUGCAGAUGAGGUCCCCUGUUUCUUCGUCGUACGAACCACCUUGCGCAAGGAACCAAUUUCUUGCUCUCAAUUCCCACUCAUCACAGAGUGGUUCAGGUACUAGCAGAUCUAGCAGAUCUUGCUCUUUCUUAUCCCACUUUGGAAUGACAGUCUCAUAGCCCCCUGGACCCAGCUUGUGGUGAUAUUUCUUCUUGUCGGCAUUUAUCUUGUUCUUUUCUGAUAAUGCCUGGGCAUCUUCUGACUCCUUGUACUCUUGAAAUGCCUUCCAGUGAUUCACCUGCUUGGCUAGAUACCCCUCGAAUACUGGCACUUUCUUUGUCUUCAUAUAGUUUUUCCAUAGCUUCUUCUUCCAGCUACGGAACAGUUCGACCAUCUUCUUUAGAGUCCACUGCUUGACUUUGGCCCUUAGUUUGUCUGCGGCGUCUUCAUUCUCACAUUCUCGCAGGUUGAAAUGUGACAUGAGAUCAUUCCAAAGAUUAUCUUUGUACCUCUCGGCGACAUAGUCACUAUCGGCUGCCCCUUUGCGCUUGUUCCACUCCCGAAUGUUGAUCGGGACGUGAUCCCUAACGAGAACUCCGCAUUGCUUCUUGAAUGUGUCAGCAGCAUUCUUAGGAAUCUUGGGUUCGCCCGUAGGCAAUAUCACCUCAAAGGUGUAAUGCGUCCGUGCAUCCAACUUUCUAGUCGGGCCUCGUUUCGUAGCUUUGCUCGAUGUGGAGGCCUAAGAGGGAGAAACAUUCGUCAAAUGAAUGUAUAUGUAUACAAUAUAGAGCUAUCUCCAAUAUUUUCACAUAUUACUAGUGAUUGUCGAACUUCAUAUGUAUACCUCGCCGGACUUUAUUAUUUCUUCACCGGCUUCUCCACCGGCUUCUCCAUCAGUGGAGCUAUCACCUUCUCCGUCAUUGGACCUAUCUCCUGCCCCAUCAGCUUCAUCUUCGUGUCGCUCGACCUCCAUUCCAUAUCCGGAGGGGUUUAGAUAUGACGACGGAGAUUCAGCUGGUUCAACGUCGGGGCCAUCUUUGAUUAUAUCUUCGAGAAGUUCUUCCUCUUCGAGGUUCCUGAUAUGUGGAUCCAUAGUUCUGCAAAAAACGGACAUUUGAUUAACUAAUAAACUAACAAACUAUAUAAGAGGGGUUGGAAACUUCGAAGUGUCGUUUUAUAUAGGAGGACCUUUAGUCCCGGGUCUUGGCUAGAACCUAAACUCUAAAAUACGAGCCGGGCGGAGCCCAGUCCCGGACACUUAAGCAUAUACAAUAGCAAAAUUAAACUAGUUCUAUUAAUUUUCUUGCUAAAAAUAAACUAUUAAGACUUAGGCAUAUACAAUAGCAAAAUUAAACUAUUAACACUUAAGCAUAUACAAUAACAAAAUUAAGCAAUAAUCUAAGAAACACUAUUAACACUUAAGCAUAUACACUAUACAAUAGCAAAAUUAAAUGACAAAAAAUAUAUUUCUUCUUCUUGUAACCCUAAACUAAUUUUUCCUCUUCUUCUAUUUCUCCUCUUCUUCUACUNNNNNNNNNNNNNNNNNNNNNNNNNNNNNNNNNNNNNNNNNNNNNNNNNNNNNNNNNNNNNNNNNNNNNNNNNNNNNNNNNNNNNNNNNNNNNNNNNNNNCAUCACGUGAUUCUCCCAAUGACGUGAUCCAGUUAUCAAGCAACAACACCUUGUUCAUAAUCAGAAGACAUUGACUAUCAUCGAUCAACUGGCUAGCCAACUAGAGGCAUGCUAGGGAUGGUGUUUUGUCUAUGUAUCCACACAUGUAAAUGAGUCUUCAUUCAAUACAAUUAUAGCAUGGAUAAUAAACUAUUAUCUUGAUACAGGAAUUAUAAUAAUAACUAUACAUUUAUUAUUGCCUCUAGGGCAUAAUUCCAACACGUAGAUCACUCAUCCCCUCUCGUAGAUGGACAUCACCAUGAUAGGUCUUCGUGCGCGUAGGAGAAUUUUUGUGCCCCAUGCGACGUUCUCCAACAGCUCAACCCCGCCAAAUGUUCAUUCGGCGUUCCCAGCGGGAAGUUACUCGGUAUCUUCGUUUCCGAACGAGGGAUCAAUGUCAACCCCGAAAAGAUCGGGACCAUCGUCCGAAUGGAGAGGCCGGUCAGAAUACACGAUGUUCAACGACUGACAGGUUGCCUAGCGGCUUUGAGCAGGUUCAUCAGUCCACUCGGCGAGAAAGCACUUCCUCUGUACCGACUCAUGAAGAAAUCAGAUACUUCCGAGUGGACAGACGAAGCCCAAGUCGCAUUCGACGACCUCAAAGUCCUACUUUCCACCCAACCGGUUCUUACUGCUCCGCUCAGUAAAGAGCCCCUUCUUCUGUAUAUCGCGGCUACAAAUCAAGUCGUCAGUACUGUUCUUACAGUCGAACGAGAAGAAGAAGGCAAAGCUUACAAAGUUCAGCGGCCAGUGUACUACGUCUCCGAGGUCCUGACUCCUUCCAAGCAGAGGUAUCCCCACUAUCAAAAACUUAUCUACGGGAUUUACAUGACUGCGAAGAAGGUUGCCCAUUAUUUCCAAGACCACUCGGUGUCUGUCGUUUCUGAUGCUCCGUUGUCGGAAAUUCUCCACAAUCGAGAUGCGUUAGGCCGAGUGGCGAAGUGGGCAAUGGAGAUGACGUACUACGAUGUCAAGUUCGAGGCCAAGAAAGCUAUUAAGUCUCAAGCUCUGGCUGACUUCAUAGCAGAAUGGGUAGAACAACAGCAACCGACCCACAUCUACUCGGCCCAUUGGACAAUGUUCUUCGAUGGGUCCAAGAUGUUGAAUGGCUCCGGCGCUGGCAUUGUGAUCAUAUCGCCAAAGGGCGUCAAACUCAAGUACGUGCUACAGAUACACAUCGAUUCCUCGAACAACGAGGCAGAGUAUGAAGCUCUCCUCUACGGAUUGCAUAUGGCCAUCUCACUCGGCGUCCGUCGCCUGAUGGUCUACGACGAUUCGGAUUUGGUGGUCAAUCAAGUGAUGAAAGAGUGGGACGUCAGGAACCCCACCAUGACCACAUAUUGCAAUGCAGUGAGGAAGCUUGAGAAGAAGUUUGAAGGUCUAGAACUUCAUCAUGUUCCGAGACUGAAGGACCAAGCAGCUGAUGAGUUGGCAAAACUCGGAUCCACUCGGAGACCAGUCCCGAGUGACGUCUCCCUCGAGCACCUUCACCUUCCCUCAGUCAAAGAAGAUCCUUUUACAGAGGAACCAGUACAACCAAAGUGUUCAACAGAUCUGACUGAAGUCGAUGUACCUGCUGUGGUUGAUCUGGUCAUGGAGAUUCUUGCUGUCAUCCCCGAUUGGACUGUGCCGAUCAUUGCAUAUAUCCUGAGACAGGAACUACCAGAAGACAAAGUCCUGGCCAGGAAGAUAGUCCGCAGGUCGAAGUCAUUCACUCUCAUUGAUGGCCAAUUGUACAAGGAGAGCGUUUCAGGAGUUCUUCAACGAUGCAUCUCCCCAGAGGAGGGGCAGCUGAUCCUGAAGGAUAUUCAUUCGGGAACCUGCGGUCAUCACGGUUCUUCGAGAGCAAUCGUCGCCAAGGCGUUCAGGGCUGGUUUCUUCUGGUUACAGGCAAACGAGAUGGCUAAAGAUAUGGUUGACCAAUGUGAGGGCUGCCAGUUCUACUCCAACAAAUCCCACAAGACGACAUCCGCGUUGAAGACAAUCCCUCUGGUGUGGCCGUUUGCAGUAUGGGGAUUAGAUACAGUCGUCCACUUAGGACAGGCCAAGGGGGAUACACACAUCUGUUGGUGGCAGUCGACAAGUUCAUGAAAUGGAUCGAAGCCAAGCCCAUCAAGAAGGUCGACGCCUCAACAGCCGUCAAAUUUGUCAGGGACAUCAUCUCCAGAUUCGGUGUACCUCACAGCAUAAUCACGGACAACGGGACAAACUUUGACUCGGACAGAUUCAAAGGUUUCUGUACAAGCCAAGGUAUCCGAGUGGAUUUUGCUUCCGUGGCGCAUCCUCAGUCCAAUGGACAAGCAGAGCGGGCGAACGGACUUAUUCUGCAAGGUUUGAAGCCACGACUCCUGCGAGAGGUGGGACGUGCCGCUGGCGCAUGGGUCACCGAGCUGUCUUUAGUGCUUUGGGGUCACCACACAACCCCGAACAGAUCUACAGGGCGAUCACCGUUCUUCCUCGUUUAUGGAGCAGAAGCGGUCCUUCCGAGUGACUUGCUUCACAAUGCACCACGAGUCGAACUCUUCUCCGAAGCUGAAGCAGAACAAGCAAGGCAAGAUGGAGUGGAUCUUCUAGAGGAGGAGCGUGAGAUGGCACUGACUUGCUCAACCAUAUAUCACCAAGAUCUUCGGCGCUUUCAUGCACGCCACGUCAGGAGUCCCACGUUCCAAGCAGGCGACCUGGUACUCCGAGUGGAUCAGCAAAGACCCCACAAGUUGGCUCCUGCCUGGGAAGGACCCUUCAUCAUCUCCAAAGUGCUGAACAACGGAGCAUACAGACUCUACAACAUCGACAGGGAGAUAGACGAGCCGCGAGCAUGGAACGGAGAUCUCCUAAAGCGCUUCUACACGUGACCGUCGACUGAAGCAAUGUAAAGAACAAGUAUUGAUGAAAUAAUAUAAAGCAGAGUGAGCUUUUGCAGGUUCAAAAUUCGUCCGCGGUCGUAGACUCCGGUCUCAAAAAAAAAACUUAGAUGCGAUCCCGAAUCGCCUAAGUUCUAAAUUUCUCCGAGUGNCUUAGAUGCGAUCCCGAAUCGCCUAAGUUCUAAAUUUCUCCGAGUGUGCACUAAACGUCGCACUCGGGGACUUAGCUGCGAUCAAGAAUAGCCUAAGUAUUAAAUUUCUCCGACUGUGCACUAAACGUCGCACUCGGGGACUUAGCUGCGAUCAAGAAUCGCCUAACUAGUAACUUUCUUCGAGUGUGCACUUCACGUUACACUCGGGAACUUAGAUGCGAUCAACAAUCGCCUAAGUAUUCUAUUGCCUUCGAGUGUACCCUACAGAUCCACUCGGAGACUCCGCAAGACCCUCACAGAGGCUCAUGCAGAUGUCAAGACAACUGACACUUACAUGCUACGCAUGUUUGCCAUUGGCUUCACCAUGAAACGCCAAACAGAAAACUCGACGCAAAAUUGCGACACAAGAGCAAACGAUUUGAUUCAGAUUCAAAAGUUCAACCAAAGAUAGUUCACUCGGUGCGGAUCAAGCUUACCCGCAGCGAUCCAAGAAUGUGACAGCCAACAGCAGUGGCCAAAGUUCCUUACAGAUCAACACUCGUCAUACCAAGGAUAAAGAAUUCUUACGCAUCAUCUAGAUUAGCACCAGGACUGGAGGGCUCUACGAACGUGUCCAGACCGAUACCGUCGGGCAUGCGGGUGGCACUCUCAAGGAAAGUUUCCAUGAAGUCUUCGAAUCAAAGUUUCUUCGUGUUGGUGACCUUCAAUGUUUUUAGCUUCUCCUCGCGCACCUCCUUGCAAUGAAUUCGGACCAGGGACAGAGCAACAUCUGCACCACAACGAGCUGGAGAUUUCUUCCAUGACUGCACUCGGUUCGGGAUCUCCUCCAGUCGAGUCAUCAAGUUUUCCAUCUCCUGCCGCGACUCAUCUUCAGGCCAAAGCUCCUUGUCGAUCCGGCCGACGACUUCUCUCAGUCGACCUAUGAAAGGGCCAACUUUGCCCACGCGGAUGUGCGCUCGGAGUAGAUCUCGAUUGGCGUCCUCGCCGAGUGGAACGUUCUCGCGAAUCGACCGCUCGACGUCAGCUGCUUCAGCUUCAGCAUCAAUGCAAAAAUCUGCAACAAAAGGACACGCAAACAAUAAGCGCCGAGUGUGACGCACAAACCACAAGCACUCGGAAAAAGCAGGACUUACCAGCCAGACGCGUCAUCAUCUGUCGAGCCCAGUCGCUGACGUAUUUCUCCUGAGCUAUGCACCAUUUGUUCAGCAUGUCCAUCUGUCCCAUCAGAGCAGUCCUCUGUUUCCCCAUCUUCUCAACUUCCUCAGUUAGCACUUUGUUCGCUUCACGAGCCUGCUCCAAUGACUUCUCUCGUGCCGCCAGAACAUCCUUCAUGCCAGCCAUGCCAAGCAGCGCCGCAUCAAGCUCACUAGCUAUCUGAUUCCUCUCCGCCUUGAGAGUCUCAUAGGCUGUCCCCAUUUCACAAGUUUUCUGCCAGCCAACACCAAGAGACAAUCAGAAAAUUCAACAAUAAAAGUCUAAGUUCUUCAGACCCCUGCCGACGCAAGCAGUCGACAGCGGUCUCGAGGACUACACCCAGUGGGUUCACUAAGAGUGACCCCACUGGCAUGCAACUCAAGCAGGCCCGCCCUAUUGAGAUACAUGUUACCACCUACGCCUACGAGGCUAAUACUACCCGACCUGAGUACAAAUUACUCUCGGGGACUCUUACAGCAAGUGCACCCCAAGUGCCACAACUGUUCGCAGUCGGUCAUAUUAUUUACAGAUCUGACCAAAACAAAGACAAUAUGUAUAAAGACAACUGCCGGUGCAAGCACUCGACAGAAGUCUCGGGGACUACAGCCACUGGGUUCACUCAGAGUGAACCCCUUGCAAACAUCAUAUGCUACCCGAGAACACCCAGUGGGUUACAAGAGAAAAGUAAAGACUUACUAGCCCACUUACUCGGAUAUCAUCCCGCAGCUCCAAGCUCCGCUGGUACAAAGAUGCGACGGAGUCGUAUGCCUUCUUGGCUUCUCCCGCCAUCAGCUCCGCCUGCACCAUGGCUCCCUUGGCAGCUCCCACCUGCUCCUCCGGGAGACGCUGGAUGUUGAACUCGACAUUCGACGAGCCUGGCAUCAUUAGAAAUUCCUGGGGCAUCCCAAGGCCCGCUCCAGUCGGUUCUUCAGCCACCAGUGCCGGUUCAGUCGGCGGCAUCGCCUCAAUCGGCAGCACGUCUGCGGCGAGAGCAGUGACAGGCGGAGCAGCCUCAAGAACAGGCUCCGCAGCUUGUUCAGCUCUCCCCUGGUCACCCUCGUCCAUGCAAAUCGCCCCUGAUAGACCAAACGGCGUGAGAUCUCAGAAAAAGAAAGAGGCAAGACCUAAGAUAGAAUUCGCAACGCGAUAAUAUAAAACUCUCGGAGUCACUACAACGCACCUGGCUGGGACGAGACGACGUUGUCCAUGUCCAUGGGGUCAUCCUCCUAGCGUGCCGGAGAGGUGGCGGAGGUAGCAACUCUGUCUAGUGAAAUCCAUUCGACCAAUAAACAGGAGUUCAAUCGGAUAUCAGAAGAAAUUAGAAGAUUAUGGCACUUACGUGGAGGUGACGGGAACAGUAACCCUCAUCCGCGGCAAAGCCUUCCGAGGUUUAGACCCACUUGGUUUGGCCGCCUUGGAAGACUGACCCGCAGGCUCAGCAGCAACAUCCCUGGCCCUCUUGGUGCUCCGAGCACUCGGGACCACGGGGGCAGUGGGCGGAGCACUCGAGCACUCGGGACAUACUCUGCGCUCUCCACGCUGCCUUCCUCCUCCUCCUCGGCCGGGUUCCCGUUCGAGACGGGAGAAAACCAGUUGGUCCACUUCUGCAUAAAAUUCAGUCGGCGACAUCAGACGUCACACAGAGAUUCAAGCAAACGAUAAGAUUAAGACAGUUACGCGCACUCGACAAAUGUUACUCACCUGAUUCGGAGGAGGAUUAUCUGCGCAGAAAGGCUUCAAUCGCCGGGAUCCUUUGGGAUUCUCGCAGGGGCCUAUUAUCUCGAGCACCCACGAGGUCACCUUCUCCUCAGUCACUCCCACAACAAUGGUCCGAGUGGAAUCCUCGGGCCCCGUAUAAUGCAAAUGGCAUGGUCGCGAGCCUGCAGGGGUUGGAUGUGCCGACCGAGGAAGACCUCCAGCAAGUCUAUGCCAGUGACCCCCCUUCUGACGACAUCUACGAGUGCCUCGACCAGAGGCUGGAUGUCGUUUUUCUCAUCCUUCGUGAGCGCGAGCUGCUUAGGCGGAGCGGGCCGAUCUAAGCUAAAGGGAGGCAGCCCUGUCGCAGCAUUCGGAUAGGCAACGUCCUGGCAGUAGAACCACGUCGACUGCCAGUUUCUGACCGACUCACUUAGCUGAAGGGCAGGGUAACUACUCCGACUCUUUUUCUGGAAACCUAAGCCCCCACAGAGCUGGAGAAGAUGUGUCUUAUCAUCCGACUGGCUGAGUCGUUUGAUGGUUUGGGAUCUAGCAGAGAAUAUGUGCUUGAACAGCCCCCAAUGGGGAGGACAGCCAAUGAAACACUCGCACAGAACUAUGAAAGCAGAGAGAUGAGCAAUAGAGUUCGGGGGAAAGUGGUGAAGCUGUGCCCCGAAGUGAUUCAUAAUGCCCUUGAAUAAAGUAUGCGGGGGCAAGGAGAAACCUCGACAGACAUGGCUGAGCAACAGGACGCGCUCCCCCUCCCGGGGCGCCGGCUUGACCUCGUUCUCCGCCGGCAGCCUCCAAGACUUGUGCACGAUCAUCCCGUGCUCCACCAGCUGCAGCAGAUCCCCCUCCGUCACCGUGGAGGGGAGGAAGUCGCCUUGAAUCCACGCCGCCGGCAGCGGCCGCUGCCGCCGCUGAGCAGGAGCCACCGCCUUCCCCUUCUUAUUCCUCGCCUCCAUCUUGCUGGUCUGACCCUUGGUCAUGGCGGAAGGAAAGGGGAGGAAGGAGUGUAGAGGCGCUGGAGGUGGCGAGAAGGACGGAGAAAGCGAAGGCAAGAGAUUCGGCGAGCGUAACGAAAAACCCUCGCCGCCGAGUUUUGAGUAAGGUUCCGACUGGGACGCUGGCAGGUGGCCCCGAAACCUUAUCCCCCGACCAACCGCAGCGAUAUUAGUGGAGAGGUUGAAGGCGCGAGAAUCUAGGCGUCAGGCGCUACUCGAGCGCGAUGGCGUCAUCCCCGCUGAGCGCGCGGAAACCGAAAUUUUAGGAUCCCGGAAAAUCUGCCGCUAUCAGUUGACCGGUCACGUCAGAAGAUACCGCAGAAGCACUCGGUUUCCGACAGUUUGUUUCACAAGUACUUCCACUCGGAUCGUCGAUCGGAAAAGUUAAAAUGGACCGAGGCAAGCAACACCAAAGCCACGUCCGUGCGAGUCGGAUCCAAACCUCAAGCAUCACUUCGUCGUUCCAACCUCAAUCCAUUCGGGGACUAAUGAUGGGGUUAUAGUCCUAGGGUAGGGUCAUAAGCCUGCCUUAUAGGUCCUACCCAAGGACUACCCUUCAUAAGGGACAAGGCCCUUAGUCAGCUCCGACUGAACUAAGGAGUUGCCAUCAUCCAGUCGGUAACAGACCUCCGACCAUCCAGUCGAAGGCGAGCAUUCGGAACGUAUCGAACGGACCGAUUGGAUUCCACUCUGUACAUCGUAACCCCACAGGAGGGAAACGGUCGUACGUUUCCUCACGCUUUUAUUAGCAUUUAGGCCGUACGUUACCUGUAACGUAGGCAUUUAUUCACCAUUAUUCCACCCCUGUGCACCAACCGUUGUGAAGGGCAGCACAGUCUAUAUAAGCCACCCUUCCCCACUGGUGCAAGGGUUAGCAACUCAUUGUAUUCUAUAUUCCACUCGACAACAAGCUCCCAGAGCACUGAGACGUAGGGCUAUUACCUCCACCGCAGAGGGGCCUGAACUCAUACAACCUCGCCGUAGCUAAGGCUCUGCCCAUCCUUUUCGUACCCUACACAUCUACUGUCAGGCUUUUACCCACGACAACUAAGGAAAUGUUUCUCGUUUAUGGAGGUGACGAAGAGCUCAUCGUAAAGGGUUACGUCGACGCUAGCUUCGACACAGAUCCGGAUGACUCUAAGUCACAGACCGGAUACGUAUAUGUGUUGAAUGGUGGGGCAGUGAGCUUGUGUAGCAAUAAGCAAGAAGUCGUGGCAGCAUCUACAUGUGAGUCGGAGUACAUAGCUGCUUCAGAAGCAACUCAUGAAGGAAUUGGGAUGAAGGAGCUCAUCACCGACCUUGGAGUGGUUCCAAGCGUGUCGGGUCCAAUGACACUCUUCUGUGAUAACACUGGGGCCAUUGCCAUAGCCAAGGAGCCCAGGUUUCACCGAAAGACGAACCACAUCAAACGCCGCUACAACUCCAUCCAGGACCAUGUCCAGAGUGGAGUGAUAGAUAUUUGUAAAGUACACAUGGAUCUGAAUAUUGCAGACCCGUUGACUAAACCUCUUCCACGAGAAAAACAUGAUCAACACCAUAAUGCUAUGGGUGUUCGAUACAUCACAAUGUAACUAGAUUAUUGACUCUAGUGCAAGUGGGAGACUGUUGGAAAUAUACCCUAGAGGCAAUAAUAAAAUGGUUAUCAUCAUAUUUCCUUGUUCAUGAUAAUCGUCUAUUGUUCAUGCCAUAAUUGUAUUAACAGGAAACAGUAAUACAUGUGUGAAUAAAUAGAUCACGAUGUGUCCCUAGCAAGCCUCUAGUUGGCUAGCUCGUUAGUCAAUAGAUGAUCAUGGUUUCCUGAUCAUGGGCAUUAGAUGUCAUUGAUAACGGGAUCACAUCAUUGGGAGAAUGAUGUGAUGGACAAGACCCAAUCCUAUGCAUAGCACUAGAUCGUAUUGUUCGUAUGCUAAAGCUUUUCUAAUGUCAAGUAUAUUUUCCUUCGACCGUGAGAUUGUGCAACUCCCGGAUACCGUAGGAGUGCUUUGGGUGUAUCAAACAUCACAACGUAACUGGGUGACUAUAAAGGUGCACUACGGGUUCCUCCGAAAGUGUCUGUUGGGUUGGUACGAAUCAAGAUCGGGAUUUGUCACUCCGUGUAACGGAGAGGUAUCUCUGGGCCCACUCGGUAGAACAUCACCAUGAGCUCCAUGUGACUAAGGAGUUAGUCACACGAUGACGUGCUACGGAACGAGUAAACAGACUUACCGGUAACGAGAUUGAACAAGGUAUAGGUAUACCGACGAUCGAAUCUCGGGCAAGUUCUAUACCGACAGACAAAGGGAAUCGUAUACGGGAUUGAUUGAAUCCUUGACAUCGUGGUUCAUCCGAUGAGAUCAUCGUGAAGCAUGUGGGAGCCACCAUGGGUAUCCAGACCCCGCUGAUGGUUAUUGUCCGGAGAGGCGUCUCGGUCAUGUCUGCCUUAUCUCCCGAACCCGUAGGGUCUACACACUUAAGGUUCGAUGACUCUAGGGUUAUAGGGAAUUGUUAUACGAGGUUACCGAAAGUUGUUCGGAGGCCCGGAUGAGAUCCUGGACGUCACGAGGAGCUCUGGAAUGGUCUGGAGGUAAAGAUUGAUAUAUUGGACGGAUGGUUUCGGAUACCGGAAGUGUUUCGGGCAUCACCGAUAACGUACCGGGACCACGGGGACCACCGGAGGUGGCCCCGGGGGUCCACCGAAGGGGGCAACGACCCCGGGAGGUAAGGUGGGCCAAGUGGGGAAGGGAACCAGCCCCUAGGUGGGCUGGUGCGCCUCCCCACUCAGACCAAUGCGUGGGGGCGAGAAAAGGGGGGCAAACCCUAAGCCAGGUGGACCUAAGGCCCACCAGGGGUGCGCCACACCCCUCCUCCCCCCCUUGGCCGCCGCACCAGCCCCCAUCCUGGGCUGCCGCCCCCCAGGAGAGGGAAACCCUCAAGGGGGCGCAGCCCCUCCCUCCCCCUAUAUAUAGUGGGCACUUUUGGCCAUCAGAGAUGAGACUUUUGCCUCUCUCUCGGUGCAGCCCUGCCCUUCUUCCUCCUCCUCUCUGGCGGUGCUUGGCGAAGCCCUGCCGGGAGACCUCGUCUCUCCAUCGACACCACGCCGUCGUGCUGCUGGAGUUCUUCCCCAACCUCUCCCUCCUCCUGGCUGGAUCAAGGUGCAGGAGACGUCACCGGGCUGCACGUGUGUUGAACGCGGAGGUGCUGUAGUUCGGCACUAGAUCAGAAUCGCUGCGAGUACGACUCCAUCAACCGCGCUCUAGCAAUGCUUCCGCUUAGCGAUCUUCAAAGGUAUGAAGAUGCUCUUACCCCUCUCUCGUUGCUGGUCUCUCCAUAGGAAGAUCUGAAUAUGCGUAGGAAAAUUUUGAAUUUAUGCUACGUUCCCCAACAUUUUUUCGUGAUAGUUGUAUAUACAUCAGUUUUCUUCAACAUUUAGUAUUUGUUGCAUGUCUUUUUCCGAGAAGUGUUCAUGAAGCCGAUGAACACUCCAUCCACCAGGUUCAUUCAAGAUGUUCGGUACUCGGCUGAACUGACAAUUUUUCUUUUCGUGGUGAUCAAACCAUGCCACAUGCGGAUCAAAGAACUAUCAGCGUUCAAAAUAUGAACAUAUACAUAAAUUGACAAAGAAAAUACUUUGAACAAAAAAAUCAUUAAAAUUCUAUGAACAAAAUUACAACAGAAAAAAAUCAUAAAAGUUCUAUGAACAGAAAAAUCAUAAAAAAUUGACAUAUUCGAUCUUUGCAUAUAUAUGAACAUACAAACAUGCAUAUUCAACAAUAAUAUCACCAAAAAAAUCUUUUAACAGAAAAAAAUCUUUGCUCACGGCGACGGCGACGGCGACGCGGGGCGGNNNNNNNNNNNNNNNNNNNNNNNNNNNNNNNNNNNNNNNNNNNNNNNNNNNNNNNNNNNNNNNNNNNNNNNNNNNNNNNNNNNNNNNNNNNNNNNNNNNNCACACAAAGCAUUCCUCCGGUGUCGGUGAGUUAUAUGAUCUCAUGGUCAUAGGAAUAAAUACUUGACACGAAGAAAACAGUAGCAACAAAAUGACACGAUCAACAUGCUACGUCUAUUAGUUUGGGUCUAGUCCAUCACGUGAUUCUCCUAAUGACGUGAUCCAGUUAUCAAGCAACAACACUUUGUUCAUAAUCAAAAGACAUGGACUAUCUUUGAUCAACUGGCUAGCCAACUAGAGGCUUGCUAGGGACGGUGUUUUGUCUAUGUAUCCACACAUGUAAAUGAGUCUUCAUUCAAUACAAUUAUAGCAUGGAUAAUAAACGAUUAUCUUGAUACAGGAAUUAUAAUAAUAACUAUAUUUAUUAUUGCCUCUAGGGCAUAAUUCCAAGAGUCUCCCACUUGCACUAGAGUCAAUAAUCUAGCCCUCACAUCAUCAUGUGAAUUACAUUGUAAUAAAUCUAACACCCAUACAGUUCUGGUGUUGAUCAUGCUUUGGCCGUGGAAGAGGUUUAGUCAGCGGNNNNNNNNNNNNNNNNNNNNNNNNNNNNNNNNNNNNNNNNNNNNNNNNNNNNNNNNNNNNNNNNNNNNNNNNNNNNNNNNNNNNNNNNNNNNNNNNNNNNUUCUUCUCUCUCUUGGAUCUUCAAUACAAACUUCUCCAUGAUCUUCAUGGAGAUCUAUCCGAUGGUAAUCUUCUUUGGCGGUGUGUUUGUCGAGAUCCGAUGAAUUGUGGAUUUGUGAUCGGAUUAUCUAUGAUAUAUAUUUGAGUCUUUGUUGAUAUCUUAUAUGCAUGAUUUGAUAUCCUUGUAAGUCUCUCCGAGUCUUGGGUUUUGUUUGGCCAACUAGAUCUAUGAUUCUUGCAAUGGGAGAAGUGCUUGGUUUUGGGUUCUACCAUGUGGUGACCUUUCCCAGUGACAGUAGGGGCAGCAAGGCACACAUCAAGUAGUUGCCAUCAAGGGUAAAAAGAUGGGGGUUUUAUCAUUGGCUUGAGAUUACCCCUCUACAUCAUGUCAUCUUGCUUAAGGCGUUACUCUGUUCUUAUGGACUUAAUACACUAGAUGCACGCUGGAUAGCGGUCGACGUGUGGAGUAAUAGUAGUAGAUGCAGAAAGUAUUGGUCUACUUGUUUCGGACGUGAUGCCUAUAGAAACAAUCAUUGCAUAGAUAUGGUCACGACUUUGCGCGGUUCUAUCAAUUGCUCGAGAGUAAUUUGUUCACCGAUCAUCUACUUGCUUUCAUGAGAGAAGCCACUAGUAAACACUACGGCCCCCGGGUCUAUUCACAUCCAUCGUUUACACCUCCGCUUUUACUUUGCUUUGUUACUUUGUUGCUUUCAGUUCUCACUUGGCAAACAAUCUAUAAGGGAUUGACAACCCCUUGAUAGCGUUGGGAGCUAGUUUUUGUGUUUUUGCAGGAUCUUGAGAUACUCCUCCACUGGAUUGAUACCUUGGUUCUCAAACUGAGGGAAGUACUUACCACUGCUACGCUACAUCACCCUUUCCGCUUCGAGGGAACACCAACGCAAGGCUCCAAGGCCACGGGGGAAAUACUUUGCAUACUUCCCUAGGAAGUACCUUAAGGCGUAGCCGUAGCUGAAGGAUUCCUGGUGCCGUAGCUGAGGAGUAUCAAGCAACAUUCCUAUUUCUCGCGCCGUUGGAAGGUCUUUUGUUGUAGUAGCAUACUCUGCCUUGGUACUCACGUCCCGUGCAUAUCUUCUGUUCCGGGAAAAAUCUUUUCGGAAGUUUAUUCCGUUUGGACUCCGUUUAAUAUUCUCCUCUUAAAAGGGUCAAAAACACGGAAAAAUAGGAACAGGCACUUGGCACUGAGUUAAUAAGUUACUCCCAAAAAAGAUAUAAAAGGCAUACAAAACAUCCAAAGUUUGACAAGAUAAUAGCAUGGAACCAUCAAAAAUUAUAGAUACGUUGGAGACGUAUCAACCUCUAUGGCAUCAUCCUCGGCAAUAUCCAGAAUAACAAAGUCUGUUAAGAUAGUAACGUUAGCAACCACAACAGACACAUCCUCGCAAAUGCCGAUAGGGAAAGAAGUUGAUUUUGUGGGCCAUUUGCAAUGAGAUUUCACUGGGUGUCAACUUAUCCAAUCCAAGUAUACGAUAAAGAGACAGAGGUAUAACACUAACACCUCCUGCAAGAUCGCAUAAAGCGGUUCUAACAUAAUUGCCUUUAAUGGAGCAAGGUAUAGUGGGCAGUCCGGGAUCACCUAGUUUCUUAGGAGUCCCACCCUUGAAGGUGUAAUUAGCGAGCAUGGUGGAAAUCUCAACCUCAGGUAUCCUCCUCUUAUUAGUCACAAUAUCCUUCAUGUACUUAGCAUAAGGAGACAUUUUGAGCAUAUCUACCAAAUGCAUUUGCAGAAAGAUAGGUCUAAUCAUUUUAACAAAUCGCUCAAAAUCCUCAUCAUCCUUUUUCUUGUCUGGUUUGGGAGGAAAGGGCAUGGGUUUCUGAACCCAUGGUUCUCUUUCUUUACCAUGCUUCCUAGCAAUGAAAUCGUUCUUAUCGUAUCUCCUAUUCUGAGGAUGUGGGUUAUCAAGAUCAACUGGUUCAAUCUCCACAUCCUUAUCAUUGCUAGGUUGAGCAUCAUCAUGAACACCACUAUCGAUAUUAUCAUUAGGCUCAUGUUCAUCACCAGAUUGUGUUUUGGCAUCAGAAACAGAGACAUCGUUUGGAUUCUCGGGUGUAACAGCAGCAGGUUUGCUAGCAUCUUUCUUUUUCUUCCUAGGAUGACUAGGUGCCUCGGUGCUUACUCCUUGAGAAUCUUGCUCAAUUCUCUUAGGAUGACCCUCAGGAUACAAAGGUUACUGCGUCAUUCUACCACCUCUAGUGACGACUCUAACAGAAUUGUCAUUCAACUCAUUGAGCAAGUCAUUUUGAGCCUUAAGUACUUGUUCUACCUGAGUAGUGACCAUAGAGGCAUGUUUACUCAAAAGCUUAAGAUCAUUGCCAUUUCUAUCAACAGAAGCACUUAAAUGACUAAGCAUACGAGCAUUUUGUUCCAAUUGUCUGCUAACCUAAUCAUUGAGACUUUGUUGUUUGACAACAAAGUUAUCAAAUUCAUCUAGGCAUAAGCUAUCAGGUUUAUCAAAAGGAAUAUCACCCUCAUUGAAUCUACGAAGAGAAUUUACCUAUACUACCUUUGUCGGGUUACCAAUACCAUGGAUCUGUUCGAUAGGUGGUAGAUUCUUGACAUCUUCAGAUUUAAUGCCUUUCUCUUGCAUAGAUUUCUUAGCUUCUUGCAUAACUUCAGGACUGCCGAAUAGGAUACCUCUUUUCUUCGGAGUUGGCUUCGGAGGUGGUUCGGGAAUAGUCCAAGCAUUCUCGUUGCACAAGAUAUUAUUCAAUAGAAUCUCAGCUUGUUCCACAGUUCGUUCCAUGAAAACACAACUGGCACAACUAUCUAGGUGGUCCCUAGAAGCAUCGGUUAGUCCACUAUAGAAGAUAUCAAGUAUUUCAUUUUUCUCAAGAGGGUGAUCAGGCAAAGCAUUCAGCAGCUGGACAAGCCUCCUCAAGCUUGUGGGAGACUCUCUUCUUCGCUUGCACAAAGUUAUAUAUUUCCUGCAAGGCAGCUUGUUUCUUAUGGACAGGAAAAUAUUUCUCAGAGAAGUAGUGGAUCAUAUCCUGGGGACUACGCACACAAGCAGGAUCAAGAGAAGUGAACCAAGUCUUAGCAUCAUCCUUUAGCGAGAAAGUAAACAACUUAAGGAUAUAGUAGUGGCGUAUCAUUUCCUCACUCGUGAAUAGGGUGGCUAUAUCGUGCAACUUAGUAAGAUGUGCUACAAUUGUUUCAGACUCAUAACCAUGAAAAGGAUCAGAUUCGACCAAAGUGAUUAACUCAGGAUCGACAGAGAAUUCAUAAUCCUUAUCAGUCACAAAGAUGGACGAAGUAGCAAACUUAGGGUCGUAUUUCAUCCUAGCGUUCAGAGAUUCUUCCUUCCACUUACGCAGUAAUUUCUCAAGAUCAUAGAUAUCCUUACAAGAAAGAAAGUCCGCAGGUACCUCUCCCUCCAUAACAUAACCCUCAGGUAUAUCAGGCAAUUCAUAUCUAGGAGAGCUAGUUCUAACAGGUGAAAUAGCAGGUUCUACUUCAAUAAUUUUAGCAGUCUCAGAAGUAACAUCACAUUCAGCAGCAACUCUAGCAAUUUGUGCAUUAAGGAAUGCACCUAGUGGCAAAGCAGUAUCAAGCAAAGCAUCAUCACAAGCAUCAUGGAUAGCAGAAGUAGCAUCAUCAAGCACACACGACAUAUCAGAAUUUCUAGCAGGUAGUGGUGUCACAAACUUACUCAUAACUGAAGGUGAAUCAAGUGCAGAUCUAGAUGGCAGUUCCUUACCUGUCCUCGUAGUUGAGGGCAAUACUUUAGCUUCUGGAUCUCUCGGAUUCCUCAUAGUGAUCAACAGCAAUAGUAGUGACAACAGUAGCGGUAACAAUAGCAGCAGUCACAGCAGGAGCGGCAAAGUAACGUAGCAAGGACCAGUAGGAAAAACUCGUAGGCAUUGGAUCGUUGAUGGAUAAUUAUGCCGGAUGACAUUCAUCAUGCAACAGUUAUAACAUGGAGAGAUAGGUAACUAGCUCUAGUUCGUCAAUGUAAUGUAGGCAUGCAUUCCGUAUGUAGUCAUACGUGCUUAAGGAAAAGAACUUGCAUGACAUCUAUUGUCCAUCCCUCCCAUGGCAGCGGGGUCCUAAUGGAAACUAAGGGAUAUUAAGGUUCUCCUUUUAAUAGAGAACCGAAACAAAACAUUAGCACUUAGUGAAUACAUGAACUCCUCAUACUAUGCUCAUCUCCGGGAGUGGUUCCGGCUAUUGUCACUCCNNNNNNNNNNNNNNNNNNNNNNNNNNNNNNNNNNNNNNNNNNNNNNNNNNNNNNNNNNNNNNNNNNNNNNNNNNNNNNNNNNNNNNNNNNNNNNNNNNNNNNNNNNNNNNNNNNNNNNNNNNNNNNNNNNNNNNNNNNNNNNNNNNNNNNNNNNNNNNNNNNNNNNNNNNNNNNNNNNNNNNNNNNNNNNNNNNNNNNNNNNNNNNNNNNNNNNNNNNNGGUUCAGAUCUGAAAUCAUGGCACUCGGGCCCUAGUGACAAGCAUUAAGCAUGGCAAAGUAGUAGCAACAUCAAUCUUAGAACAUAGUGGAUACUAGGGAUCAAUCCCCGUCAAAACUAACUCGAUUACAUGAUAGAUCUCAUCUAACCCAUCACCGUCCAGCAAGCCUACGAUGAGAUUACUCAUGAACGAUGAAGAGCAUCAUGGAAUUGGCGAUGAAGGAAGGUUGGUGAUGACGAUGGCGACGAUCUCCCCUCUCCGGAGCCCAGAACGGACUCCAGAUCCACCCUCCAGAGGAAGAACAGGUGGUGGCGCCGCCUCCGUAUCGUAAAAGACGAUAAACUCUCCUCCUUGAUUUUUUCUGGGCGAGAGGGACUAAAUAGAGUUGGAGCCUUGAGGGCCCCACAAGCCUGCUAGGCGUGGCCAGGGGGGCCCGCGCCUCCUGGUCUUGUGGGCUCCUCGCUCCACGCCUCCGGUUGAUUCUUGCGUGAGUAUUUUUUAUAUAUUCCACAAAAAUUCCUCGUAAAUUUUCAGGUCAUUCCGAGAACUUUUAUUUUUGCGCAAAAACAACGCCAUGGCAAUUCUGCUAAAAACAGCUUAGUUCGGGUUAGUUCCACUCAAAUCAUGCAUAUUAGAGUCCAAAACAAGGGCAAUAGAGUUUGGAAAAGUAGAUACGAUGGAGAUGCAUCAGAGGGUUAAUUUAGUGGUUCCAUAUUGUGUUAGCUAGCUAAUAGAGAGAAGUGUCCUCUCUUUCUCCGUGCUUGGUCGAACAACAAGUUUUCGUAUGUCUAUCCGACGCUAUUACAUAUAUACAAUAUAACAUCUUUUACAAUUAAUCCUAAAUAUCAUCUAAUUAAGAUCCAAUUACAUAUCCACAUGGCAUUCUCUGUCUUUAGGUAUGACGUGGUCAAGAAUGAAUCCCGCCAAUUCCUCUUGAAUUGCUCGUAUGCGAUCAUAUGGUAGGAGUUCAUCCCGCAUCUGCGAGAUCUAAUUUAAAGAAGGGGGUCAAUACAUGCAUAUAUAUGAAUAAAACUCAAGACAAUUGUGAAUAUUAUUCACAUACUUGCAAUUGUUUCUCAGAGAAGACCCACUUAGAGGUCGAGUGGCGAAUGAACUCGCAUACGUAGUAUGGACAUAAAACAAUGCCUUCUUUCUCGUACAUACACUUUACGAGAAUUGAGUUCAAUCAAACUGAUAAGUAAGCAUGGUAAUGAUAUAUUGAUGAAAAUUUGAAUCAAUUAGAGAUGCGCGGAACUAGCUAGUACUACUUACUUUGGGGUGCGUAAACCGCAACUCUUUGUUUAUACCGGGAACCUUAUUGACGAACUUCGGCCAAACCCUACCAAGCAAAGAAAAUGUUUACUUGAUAUGAGGAAAUUAACGAAAGUUGCAUGCCAAUAUGGUCUCGGUAUAUUGACUGAACUUACUUCUUGAGCAUUCCAGUAAUGUCCUCAUAAUCCUCUUCAGCUUUACGUCUUGAGGCUAAGACAGGUGAAAAUGUCUGAAUCUGUAAAUUUGACUGUUUAUUAUGGCCCUGGUAAUGUUCUGUAUAAUGAGUUGGGGGAUGAUCUUAGCGAGUUUAAAAAAGGCAUGCUGACACUUUCAGACCUGGACAGACUGGACAUUAGGCAGUUGAAGCAUUGGUUGACUACUAGUUUUGGGCUGGAUCCCGAAGUCUGUUCCGUCAGUAUUCACGCAUUUCGGACCAAAUUCUGUAAAAAUGUUAAGUGGGAGUUGAUGCCGAUAGAUAGGAGCCAACAUUGGUUGUCCAUGUUAAGUCGUUCCAAGGACCAAAGAAUCCACCCAUAUGUCCUAGUCCAACCAGUCGCGAAUGAGGAGAAUUUCAUACAAGUCUACGUGGGGUAUGAACCAGCACAGGGUAGUCAUGUAGCCGGGUCACAGCCACCGGAUAUGGAUGCUAGCCAAGCAGAGAAAGAGUCAUAUUAUGUGCCACACAAUGAGACUGGACAGAGUAUUCAGUCGAUACUAUUAGCUGGCUCCGGUGUUGCUGAUGGGGAUGAGGAAGGCGAUGAAAUGCAGAGGGUGAUGGAGGAAGAGAACGAGGAUGGGUUUGCGGAGGAUCUGUAUUCUAAAAAUUCCGAGGAUGAAGUGGAGGUACCGAUUCCUUCCAUAUGGGAUAAGGACAUACCCGAUGGCAUUAGUGUCAACGAUGGCCAUGAGACUCCAUGGCAAUAUAAUAUGAACCAAGUCCAGAUCGGGGAUAUGUUUGACACAAAUAAAAAAUUGAAGUAUGCGGUGAUAAAAUGGGCUAUGUCUACGCAGAGGGUUUUCCGGACACACAUAUCGACUCCAACAAAAUAUACCAUGAAUUGUGUUGAAACAGGUUGUCCUGCGAAGGUGCACGGGCACGUGCCGAAGUAUAACAUCCACUGGGUUGUCACCAAUGUGGUCCCACAUAAUUUUGUGAGCAAAAAUCUGUUGGUUCGUCAUCCAACCCUGAGUUCAACUCUCAUAGCGCAACUCAUGUAUACUGAGAUAGUUGAGAAGAAAGAAAUGGAAGCAAAACAUAUCCAGAAAGGAGUGAAGUCAGAUGGAAUUAUGACAUUCCAUAUGGGAAGACUUGGACGGCUAAGCAGAAGGCUAUGGAGGAAAGGUUUGGGACGUUCUUCGACUCAUAUGAUAAUGUUGUCCGUCUCCUUGACAUACUGAAAGAGAGGAAUCCCGACACUUAUGUUAACAUACAACACACGAGGUAGGAGACUAUACCAGAUUACAAGGUGUUGAAACGAGUAUUCUUCUUAUUUGGUUUGUGCAUCGAAGCUUUCCGACAUUGUCCUUCUGUGAUGUUCGUGGAUGGUACAUUCCUGACUGGUCAGUAAAAAGGGCAAAUCCUUACUGCUAUUGGUGUGGACGGGAACAACCAAAUCAUCCUACUAGCCAUGGUAUUUGUGGAGGGCGACAACUUUCUGAGCUGGGUAUGGUUGUUCCGACAAGUUAAAAUUGCAACCGUGAAGGACCGACCAAACGUGUGUGUCAUUCAUGAGAGACAUCCUCGUAUAGUAGAGAUCGUGAAGACACUAAGUAAUCCAACAGCCGAUGAGCCAACACCUUGGAAGGACUUGCAAAGCCGGUGGUGCAUGCGCCAUCUGGGUGCAAAUUUUUUCUCACAGUUCAAGAACAAACGGUUGAUGAACAUGUUCAAAAAGUUAUGCAAGCAAAACCAGCAGCGCAAAUAGGAAUUUAUUUGGUCAAAUCUACCGGAGCAUACGGGAACGAUUGUUGAAUUUACCCUUGAAACAUGCAAAGAAACGACGAACGACCACCACCACCUUUACCCACACCUCCACCUCCACCACCGCCACCACCACUUGUGCCUCCUUUUUCACUCCAUUUCACCUUCUUCUUCCUCUCCACCACACCACCUCCUCACCAUCCACACCUCCACCACCCCACCAUCAUGGCACAAAAUGAGACCGUAGACCGGUCGAGAUGGGUACGAUGUGUUGAUUCAGCGGAUUGAAUAAGAAAAUGGGCGGAGGAUGGAGGAGAUUGGAGGGGGGCAAAAUGGGGGAACAAAAAUGAGAGAGAGAAGAGAAACCAGGAAAUGAGGAGGAAGGAAGAGGAAGAAGGCUCGAUAGUGGUUAUCCAGGGGCUUUUCGGCCUCCUGGAGGCCGACGGCCUCUCUUCGGCCACCCCCAGGCCGACAGGUGGCUCUUCGGCCACCGGCAUGCCGACAGGCCCGCAUCGGCCAUCCAGAGGCCGACCGGUCCCCCAUCGGCCACCCACAGGCCAACGGGGUGCUACUUUUGACAUUUUUCAAAACGCAUACAUGCUUUUCAGAUUUAUUAUAAAUCACGUACUAGUUUCGAAAAAAAGUCUAGCCAGAGACUAAAGGUUCCUCAUAUAUAAGAAAUCACAAUCCAAGCAUUUAAAAAAUGUUAAAUUUGCAUAGAAUUUGUUUGUGAGAAGAAUUUAUGUGCAUACUACGUUUGCGAGAACAUUCGCAUGAUGACGUCCGAAAGGUCCAAAAAUGUUAGACAACUUUGGGUAGGUUUGUCAGAACACUAUUCACAAUUCUUUUUAUUAUGAUUUAAUGUAUAUACACACAACUAAUAUAUUCAUAUUGAUCUUCUUUUUUAAUAAUGAUGAAAGGCAUGUGGGAUCGGUUCCUACCAACGGAUCGCAUACAAGCAAUUCAAGAGUAAAUAGCGAGAUUUUUGCUCGACGAGGUUAUAGAUCCCAAAAGGAUAAUACCAUUACAAGUUGUUUAUUUUUGCUCGAAUAGGAAGACUAUUCUUGACUUAAAAUAAUUCAUUCAUAUGUUAUAUGUUUAUUUGAUCAUAAGUUCUUUUUUUCUUCUUGCUACACUUGUUAUGGAAUCAUUCAUUCACUUAAUGUUGCUCUACACAUUGUGUAGUCCAUAUGUACAGUCGUGACAUACCAUGAGAUGGAGGGGCGGCUAUUUACGUACAUAUACUGUUGGAUGAAGCUGAAGGCGGAGUAUGUGUGAGAUGACAUGCUCCAGUGAUGAAAAACUUGUUAGACAUCCGAUUAAUCUAGUCGGAUUUAAGACAUUGUUAUACUAGACUUAAUUUCUAUAUUAUGUAUGGAUGAUUUGUGUUAUUUUCUAUCUAAAUUUUGUUAAAAAUUGACAUGUUUGCAUGAAUUUUGCCGGUUAGUUUGGAUGGUGUUUGAAAUGUAUGCGGUUAGCGUUGGAUAAUGACUUUCCGCAUCUGUUUCUACGGAUUGAUCCUACCGUUCACAGAAGGAUGCGGGACGAAAUUUAUGGAUCGCCGUUCAACAUGCCUUGAGCCCUCUUACGACAGAACACUAUGGACCUGUUUGAACUGCUUCACUCCAUGGAAUUCAACCCCGUUUUAGAAAACGUAAGUCAAACGGGGUAGCUCCAUGAUAUAUCGCUCCACAAAAAAACUAAAAUCUGUGAUACUACUCCUUGUUUUUUCUCAAGCUCUCGAGAGGUGCUCCAUAAAAUUAUAGAAGCUGGAGUUGAAAGGAAAUUACACAUCACUACCACCAGUAAGUGAAUACCCCUUCUUUUCUUCCCUCUCAUCCAAUCAAAUAGAUCCUUUUCAUCAAAAUUUCCAUAUUUGAAGCUGAAGCUGGAUGAAAGACAAACAUUCUUUUGAAAGAGCUGCAACUUCUGUAUGAAACUGCUCCAAAAUAAAUUUGGUAGAGCGGAACUGAUUUUGAUGAAGUAAAGCAGUCCCAAACAUGCUCUAUGUAUGUAGCUUGCUCCAUGUCAUGUUGGAUUGGCGGCCACUACUGCUGUGUGGAUCUUUCUACAUUGGUGGAUAAGUUAAGCGGUCACUCCUUGAAGAUUGUUUUAAAGUAGCAAAUGCUCAGUGAUGCUCUUAGUGGGUUCUUGUUUGCUAACUUUGUCAUUAUUCCAGAGUUUUGAUUUUCCUUCAAAAUAGUUGUUAUAAAAGUACCAAUGCAGGAGUAGGGUGUUUUGCAGCUCGGCCUACGAGCAGGCCAUUUUUUUCAAAAAUAUUCAAAUUUCAAACAUUUCAGUUUUGAAAAAAAAGUACAAGUAUACAUUGAUGUGUAUGGCUAUGUCUGAAAAAAAAUCAUGGACUUUAACGAUGAAUUAUGCAUCUACUAAAUGGCAACAUUUUUAAGAACUUAUUUUAAUAUAUGUGUCAUCUUAAAAAUUUACACACAUGUACAUUAUUUCUCUAAGUAUAUGUAUAUUUUAUUUUAAUAAAACAUGCAAAUAUGGAUUUCAAUAUUUUCUUUUCUUUUUCUUUUUUUAAUUUAGUCAUUUAAAUGUGCAAUAAUGAUGUCACAUCUAAAUAUAUCCUAGACACCUCCUUUUAAAUUGGCCUCGAUGAAGACCGAGCUCCAUUAAGAAUUUUCGCCAAGCCAGCUCAUAUGUCCAUAUUAAACCAGCUAUUGCGUGCCCCACUUGGCAACUAGGCAUAACAUUUUUGUAACUUCCACAAGUACCAAUCCCCAUCAUCUAACAGAUGCCCAAGUAGGCAACAGGGCACAUAGAAACAUGGGCAUAUAGAAACUAUGCAGUAUAAAAACAAAACAUGGAUAUAUUUAUUAGCCCCAAGUUGGCAGCAGGGCAUAUACCAACACGGCAACAGUAAAGAAUUGCUGGCCGGCCACGGAUAAUAAAUAAUCCAUUUAUGAUGUCUCUUACUAACAACGUCAGAGAUAGGCCCACACUACUCCCUCCGUCCCAGUUAUAAAUCAUAUUACAAUUAUCUAAACGUCCUGCAUUAGUUUUUAAUUGUUUCUUAUUUUUUGACAUGAAUAAAGGAGUUAACUAAUAAGAGACGUUGGACGUAUAUGUUUUUAUUGACUUGAGGUUAACUAGCAUGACAUUCAGUGAUCAAUUCGUGCAUAAUAUUAAUAAGUAAAUUAACAUUGAUUUUUUUUCUUUUCGUCUUGUUCAUGGUGCACAAGCAAUAAUGACUUAUACACUGAGACGAAUGGAGUAGGAGGUUUUUCUUGGGACGGAGGGGCUUCUUCGACAGGUUUCGUAGACCGUUUCUGUUCACGCGGACUUUGUGGUCUAUGGUCACAGCGAUUAAGAAUAUCUCAAAUCGCUCGAGAGCACUAGUGCGGACGGGGCCUUUAGCCCCGGCCCGUAAGGGGCUUUAGUCCCGGUUCACCAACCGGGACUAAAGGGGCGGGACUAAAGGCCUAACCUUUAGUCCCGGUCCUGUUCCAAGCCGGGACUAAAAGUGCUCCACGUGGACGCCUCGUAGCGCCCCAGGGGCAGGCCCUUUAGUCCCGGUUCGUUACACAGACCGGGACUAAAGAGUUUCAGGUUUUACUUAUUUUUGGUUUUUUUUUGAAUGAAAUUAUUUUUGGGUUUUAGGGUUUAGGUGUUCGGGAGAUUAACGUGAUGCCUCGUUUGGUGUUCGGGAAUUAGUUUUCAUAUAAUUUAAAUAGAAAUAAUUAUGCAUAUAUAUAUAAGAUUAACUUAUCUUACAAGCGAGCAUAUAUAUACAAUUAUAUGCAGAUCUGAAUUAUCUGGACUAGAGCCCGUCUAUUCGAUUACAUGGACGAACAUGAGUAAUGGUCCCUAGCUACACUAAAUUCUCCUUUGUCAUCUAUAGCUUCCAUCCUCACAAAGGUCGCAAGCUCCUCUGCAACAGCAAUCGUGCGUUGCUCUGGUAGGACCUUCGUCCUCAUGGUCGUGUACUAUAUAAGAAGAGGAGAUGAAUAUGAAUAUCAAUCAUG